AUUUUUAAUCUUUUAUGCUUUUCUUCUUUUUUUUUUUGGUCGCCAUCCUGUUCAUUUGUGUUUUCGAUUUUUUCUAUCCAUUUACAAUUUUGUUCCCUCGUUUCCUUGUUCGUUUUUGUUCGGUGUUGGGGUUGUUUCCAUUAUUUCAUCAGGUAAUUUUGGGAUUUUAAUAAGUUUAGGUUUUGGUGUAUCGUUAAACCUUGAUAUGGUAUCUGGUUCUUGUAGUGAUUAUAAUUAUUUCCCUUGGGUAUUCAUGGUUUGAUUGUUCUGUUGUUUUUCCUCAUUGUGAUACAAGUCUAACCAUUCUGAAAUCGUUGAUUAGGCGAAAGUGAUGAAAUGC
This 340-nucleotide long non-coding RNA is filed under the name Gossypium raimondii (Peruvian cotton). Its description in RNAcentral is "long non-coding RNA (GRAI_LNC008454)". Lineage: Eukaryota; Viridiplantae; Streptophyta; Magnoliopsida; Malvales; Malvaceae. The record is from RNAcentral.